GUUGAAUUCAGUUCAGAGGAGGAGGGACAGAGGUCAGCAUAUUCACGCUUGUUUUUUUGUUGUAUUUUUUCAGGGGGGGCGGCCAAAGGUCUCGAGCGCGUAGAAAAAUAAUCUGACAUGAGGAUGACAGCAGAUGAGAAUUGCACAAGAUCAUUUGGGUGCGAUAUAAUACUCUCAUAUUAAACAUUGAUGCCAGUCUUCUCACCACGUCUCCCACACAUGCCCAACUGUCCAUCUCCAUGGUAACCUCCCCCACAAAAAGGUUGGAGCAGAACAUUCAGUUCCCUAUUGUGUGUGUGCGUGUGUGUGUGUGUACAUAGCAGUCAAGCUUAAACGCGGAACAGCGGCGGGGGCGGGGGGUAUCCAUGUUUGUAGUCCUUUGAAAAGAGCGUACAUGUUAUGCCUGACAUGGUCCGUGUGUUUAUGGCUGGCUACAUUCUUUGAUUUCCACAGUAAAAGACAUGAGCGUCCGCCACUGCCCUGCAAAAUGAGAUGACAUCACUUAUCCGGAGAGCCC
Hippocampus comes (tiger tail seahorse) is the source of this 517-nucleotide long non-coding RNA. RefSeq lists it as uncharacterized. Lineage: Eukaryota; Metazoa; Chordata; Actinopteri; Syngnathiformes; Syngnathidae. The transcript is spliced from 2 exons. The record is from RefSeq and is a predicted model, not a curated record.